This 253-nucleotide ribosomal RNA is filed under the name uncultured bacterium. Its description in RNAcentral is "partial 16S ribosomal RNA". It matches the Rfam family "Bacterial small subunit ribosomal RNA", at positions 524 to 776 of the family's 1533-position model. The record is from RNAcentral.
UACGUAGGGAGCAAGCGUUGUCCGGAAUCAUUGGGCGUAAAGCGCGCGUAGGUGGCUUCGUAAGUCCGUUGUGAAAGUCAAAGGCUCAACCUUUGAAAGCCGAUGGAUACUGUGAAGCUAGAGUACGGAAGAGGCGAGUGGAAUUCCUGGUGUAGCGGUGGAAUGCGCAGAUAUCAGGAGGAACACCGAUGGCGAAGGCAGCUCGCUGGGACGGUACUGACGUUGAGGCGCGAAAGCGUGGGGAGCAAACAGG